RNAcentral lists this ribosomal RNA (253 nucleotides) under uncultured bacterium. RNAcentral describes it as "partial 16S ribosomal RNA". It matches the Rfam family "Bacterial small subunit ribosomal RNA", at positions 524 to 776 of the family's 1533-position model. The record is from RNAcentral.
UACGUAGGUGGCAAGCGUUAUCCGGAUUUAUUGGGCGUAAAGGGAACGCAGGCGGUCUUUUAAGUCUGAUGUAAAAGCCUUCGGCUUAACCGGAGUAGUGCAUUGGAAACUGGGAGACUUGAGUGCAGAAGAGGAGAGUGGAACUCCAUGUGUAGCGGUGAAAUGCGUAGAUAUAUGGAAGAACACCAGUGGCGAAAGCGGCUCUCUGGUCUGUAACUGACGCUGAGGUUCGAAAGCGUGGGUAGCAAACAGG